RNAcentral lists this ribosomal RNA (570 nucleotides) under Enterococcus faecalis. RNAcentral describes it as "bacterial SSU rRNA". It matches the Rfam family "Bacterial small subunit ribosomal RNA", at positions 119 to 674 of the family's 1533-position model. The record is from RNAcentral. Lineage: Bacteria; Bacillati; Bacillota; Bacilli; Lactobacillales; Enterococcaceae.
GGGUAACCUGCCCAUCAGAAGGGGAUAAACACUUGGAAACAGGUGCUAAUACCGUAUAACAAUCGAAACCGCAUGGUUUUGAUUUGAAAGGCGCUUUCGGGUGUCGCUGAUGGAUGGACCCGCGGUGCAUUAACUAGUUGGUGAGGUAACGGCUCACCAAGGCGACGAUGCAUAGCCGACCUGAGAGGGUGAUCGGCCACAUUGGGACUGAGACACGGCCCAAACUCCUACGGGAGGCAGCAGUAGGGAAUCUUCGGCAAUGGACGAAAGUCUGACCGAGCAACGCCGCGUGAGUGAAGAAGGUUUUCGGAUCGUAAAACUCUGUUGUUAGAGAAGAACAAGGAUGAGAGUAACUGUUCAUCCCUUGACGGUAUCUAACCAGAAAGCCACGGCUAACUACGUGCCAGCAGCCGCGGUAAUACGUAGGUGGCAAGCGUUGUCCGGAUUUAUUGGGCGUAAAGCGAGCGCAGGCGGUUUCUUAAGUCUGAUGUGAAAGCCCCCGGCUCAACCGGGGAGGGUCAUUGGAAACUGGGAGACUUGAGUGCAGAAGAGGAGAGUGGAAUUUCCAUG